RNAcentral lists this ribosomal RNA (433 nucleotides) under uncultured bacterium. RNAcentral describes it as "partial 16S ribosomal RNA". It matches the Rfam family "Bacterial small subunit ribosomal RNA", at positions 29 to 507 of the family's 1533-position model. The record is from RNAcentral.
AGCGAACGCUGGCGGCAGGCCUAAUACAUGCAAGUCGAACGGGAUCUUCGGAGCGAGUGGCGCACGCGGGUGUAACGCGUGGGAAGCUGCCCGUGGGGGUGGGAUAACUUCUGGAAACGGAAGCUAAUACCGGGGGAUGACGUAAGUCCGAAGAUUUAUCGCCCAGGGAUGAGCCCGCGUAGGAUUAUGUAGUUGGUGAGGUAAAGGCUCACCAAGCCGACGAUCCUUAGCUGGGUUGAGAGGAUGAUCAGCCACACUGGGACUGAGACACGGCCCAGACUCCUACGGGAGGCAGCAGUAGGGAAUAUUGGACAAUGGGCGCAAGCCUGAUCCAGCCAUGCCGCGUGAGUGAUGAAGGCCUUAGGGUUGUAAAGCUCUUUUACCCGGGAUGAUAAUGACGGUACCGGAAGAAUAAGCUCCGGCUAGCUUCGUG